AGGGUUUGAUCAUGGCUCAGAUUGAACGCUGGCGGCAGGCCUAACACAUGCAAGUCGAGCGGUAGAGAGAAGCUUGCUUCUCUUGAGAGCGGCGGACGGGUGAGUAAUGCCUAGGAAUCUGCCUGGUAGUGGGGGAUAACGUCCGGAAACGGACGCUAAUACCGCAUACGUCCUACGGGAGAAAGCAGGGGACCUUCGGGCCUUGCGCUAUCAGAUGAGCCUAGGUCGGAUUAGCUAGUUGGUGAGGUAAUGGCUCACCAAGGCGACGAUCCGUAACUGGUCUGAGAGGAUGAUCAGUCACACUGGAACUGAGACACGGUCCAGACUCCUACGGGAGGCAGCAGUGGGGAAUAUUGGACAAUGGGCGAAAGCCUGAUCCAGCCAUGCCGCGUGUGUGAAGAAGGUCUUCGGAUUGUAAAGCACUUUAAGUUGGGAGGAAGGGUUGUAGAUUAAUACUCUGCAAUUUUGACGUUACCGACAGAAUAAGCACCGGCUAACUCUGUGCCAGCAGCCGCGGUAAUACAGAGGGUGCAAGCGUUAAUCGGAAUUACUGGGCGUAAAGCGCGCGUAGGUGGUUUGUUAAGUUGGAUGUGAAAUCCCCGGGCUCAACCUGGGAACUGCAUUCAAAACUGACUGACUAGAGUAUGGUAGAGGGUGGUGGAAUUUCCUGUGUAGCGGUGAAAUGCGUAGAUAUAGGAAGGAACACCAGUGGCGAAGGCGACCACCUGGACUAAUACUGACACUGAGGUGCGAAAGCGUGGGGGAGCAAACAGGAUUAGAUACCCUUGCUA
RNAcentral lists this ribosomal RNA (791 nucleotides) under uncultured Gammaproteobacteria bacterium. Its description in RNAcentral is "bacterial SSU rRNA". It matches the Rfam family "Bacterial small subunit ribosomal RNA", at positions 8 to 792 of the family's 1533-position model. The record is from RNAcentral. Lineage: Bacteria; Pseudomonadati; Pseudomonadota; Gammaproteobacteria.